This 500-nucleotide small RNA is filed under the name Pan troglodytes (chimpanzee). Its description in RNAcentral is "processed transcript". Lineage: Eukaryota; Metazoa; Chordata; Mammalia; Primates; Hominidae. The record is from RNAcentral.
GCGGCCGCCUGCCCCGCCCCUGCCCCCGCCCCCUGUCCUGAGCACUGUUGCUAACCCCCAGUCCUGUCACAGUGACCGUGUCUACCAGGUGGGUGAGGCCAUGGGUGGCAGCUGGGGCGGGUCUCAGGGCUCUCUGGAGGGGAGUGAAGCCCUGGCUGUGUCUCCCUGUAGGGCUGCCUGACGCCCACCCGCCUGGAGCCACAGCCCACGGAGGUCGGAGCCUGCCCACCCGCCUUGUCCUCCAGGAUCGGAGUCACCCUGAGGAAGCCCCGCGGCGACGCAAAGAAGUGCCGGAAGGUGUAUGGCAUGGAGCGCCGGGACCUGUGGUGCACAGCCUGCCGCUGGAAGAAAGCCUGCCAGCGGUUCCUGGACUAAGUCCGGCUCGUUCAAGAACAUAAGCUACCACCUCUCCCUCCCCAGCCCUCCAGGCCCGGGGCUGAAACAGCCGGGGGACAGCCCCAGGGGCUGGCCUUCACCAGCUGCAGGGUCUGCUUUUAAUU